GACGAACGCUGGCGGCGUGCUUAACACAUGCAAGUCGAACGGAGUGGCGAACGGGUGAGUAACGCGUAAUCAACCUGCCCUUCAGAGGGGGACAACAGUUGGAAACGACUGCUAAUACCGCAUACGGAAGGAGGGGAUGGCGUCGGAUUAGCUAGUUGGAGGGGGAACGGGCCACCAAGGCGAUGAUCAGUAGCCGGGCUGAGAGGAAGAACCGCCAAAAGGGGACUGGAACACGGCCCAGGCUCCUACCGGGGGGAGGAGUGGGGAAACUUCCGCAAAGGGGGAAAGUCUGACGGAGCAAAGCCGGGUGGGUGAUGACGGGCUUCGGGUUGGAAAGGUCUGUUAAGCGGGACGCGGUACCGGAAUAGAAAGCCACGGCUAACUACGUGCCAGCAGCCGCGGUAAUAC
RNAcentral lists this ribosomal RNA (408 nucleotides) under uncultured bacterium. RNAcentral describes it as "partial 16S ribosomal RNA". It matches the Rfam family "Bacterial small subunit ribosomal RNA", at positions 28 to 526 of the family's 1533-position model. The record is from RNAcentral.